ACGAACGCUGGCGGCGUGCUUAACCCAUGCAAGUCGAACGGAAAGGCCCUGCUUUUGUGGGGUGCUCGAGUGGCGAACGGGUGAGUAACACGUGAGUAACCUGCCCUUGACUUUGGGAUAACUUCAGGAAACUGGGGCUAAUACCGGAUAGGAGCUCCUGCUGCAUGGUGGGGGUUGGAAAGUUUCGGCGGUUGGGGAUGGACUCGCGGCUUAUCAGCUUGUUGGUGGGGUAGUGGCUUACCAAGGCUUUGACGGGUAGCCGGCCUGAGAGGGUGACCGGCCACAUUGGGACUGAGAUACGGCCCAGACUCCUACGGGAGGCAGCAGUGGGGAAUAUUGCCCAAUGGGCGGAAGCCUGAUGCAGCAACGCCGCGUGCGGGAUGACGGCCUUCGGGUUGUAAACCGCUUUCGCCUGUGACGAAGCGUGAGUGACGGUAAUGGGUAAAGAAGCACCGGCUAACUACGUG
Molecule: ribosomal RNA, 467 nt
Filed under: uncultured bacterium
Lineage: Bacteria
Description: partial 16S ribosomal RNA
Rfam family: Bacterial small subunit ribosomal RNA
Source: RNAcentral